GACGAACGCUGGCGGCGUGCCUAAUACAUGCAAGUAGAACGCUGAAGAGAGGAGCUUACUCUUCUUGGAUGAGUUGCGAACGGGUGAGUAACGCGUAGGUAACCUGCCUUGUAGCGGGGGAUAACUAUUGGAAACGAUAGCUAAUACCGCAUAACAAUGGAUGACACAUGUCAUUUAUUUGAAAGGGGCAAUUGCUCCACUACAAGAUGGACCUGCGUUGUAUUAGCUAGUAGGUGAGGUAAUGGCUCACCUAGGCGACGAUACAUAGCCGACCUGAGAGGGUGAUCGGCCACAAUGGGACUGAGACACGGCCCAGACUCCUACGGGAGGCAGCAGUAGGGAAUCUUCGGCAAUGGGGGCAACCCUGACCGAGCAACGCCGCGUGAGUGAAGAAGGUUUUCGGAUCGUAAAGCUCUGUUGUAAGUCAAGAACGGGUGUGAGAGUGGAAAGUUCACACUGUGACGGUAGCUUACCAGAAAGGGACGGCUAACUACGUG
Molecule: ribosomal RNA, 497 nt
Filed under: uncultured bacterium
Lineage: Bacteria
Description: partial 16S ribosomal RNA
Rfam family: Bacterial small subunit ribosomal RNA
Source: RNAcentral